Molecule: ribosomal RNA, 294 nt
Filed under: Rhodosorus marinus
Lineage: Eukaryota; Rhodophyta; Stylonematophyceae; Stylonematales; Stylonemataceae
Description: partial Bacterial large subunit ribosomal RNA
Rfam family: Bacterial large subunit ribosomal RNA
Source: RNAcentral
AUUAAGUAUACCACCGAAGCUAAGGCAGUAUUUAUACUGGGUAGGGGAGCAUUCUAUUCUGCGAAGAAGGUACCUGGUGAUGGGUAUUGGAGCGGAUAGAAAAGCAAAUGUAGGCAUAAGUAACGAUAAGGCGGGUGAGAAACCCGCCCACCGAUAGACUAAGGUUUCCUGAUCAACGCUAAUCGGAUCAGGGUUAGUCGGGACCUAAGGCGAACCCGAAAGGGGUAGUCGAUGGCCAACGGGUUAAUAUUCCCGUACUACCGCAUAGAGCGAUGGGGUGACGGAGUAGUGAAA